GACCUCAUGCAGUAGGACCAAGGCUUCUCCUUAUUAUCUUCGACACGGUGGUGAUGGCUCUGACGAUAGCAGCUGCUUCUGCUGCUGCGGCCAUGGUUUACUUAGCUCAUAAUGGGAAUUCAAAUGCAAAUUGGAACGCAAUUUGUCAACAGUUUACUGAUUUCUGCCAGCAGACCAGUACUGCUGUAGUGGCUUCCUUCAUAACUUCAGCCAUGUUCCUGUUUCUCAUUGUGUUGUCUGCGUUUGCUCUCAGAAAUUAAUUAAUUAAUUAUCAUCAUAAUGCUCUUUCUUCCAUUUCCCAUAGGCUUCUGCAUGCCUUGCUUUUGUGUAAUCCUUGUUUGCUGUACUCUGUAAAUUCGGUGUGUUCAUAUAUAAAUCUUCUUUCUUGCUA
Molecule: unclassified non-coding RNA, 391 nt
Filed under: Hevea brasiliensis (rubber tree)
Lineage: Eukaryota; Viridiplantae; Streptophyta; Magnoliopsida; Malpighiales; Euphorbiaceae
Source: RNAcentral